CCUACGGGAGGCAGCAGUGAGGAAUAUUGGUCAAUGGGCGAGAGCCUGAACCAGCCAUCCCGCGUGCAGGAUGACGGCCCUAUGGGUUGUAAACUGCUUUUCUGCUCCAAGAAACCCACCUACGUGUAGGUGGUUGACGGUAGAGUAGGAAUAAGCAUCGGCUAACUCCGUGCCAGCAGCCGCGGUAAU
This 189-nucleotide ribosomal RNA is filed under the name uncultured bacterium. RNAcentral's name for it is "partial 16S ribosomal RNA". It matches the Rfam family "Bacterial small subunit ribosomal RNA", at positions 338 to 524 of the family's 1533-position model. The record is from RNAcentral.